GAGUUUGAUCAUGGCUCAGAUUGAACGCUGGCGGCAUGCCUUACACAUGCAAGUCGAACGGCAGCACGGGAGCUUGCUCCUGGUGGCGAGUGGCGAACGGGUGAGUAAUGCAUCGGAACGUAUCCUGGAGUGGGGGAUAACGUAGCGAAAGUUACGCUAAUACCGCAUAUUCUGUGAGCAGGAAAGCGGGGGACCUUCGGGCCUCGCGCUCUUGGAGUGGCCGAUGUCGGAUUAGCUAGUUAGGUGAGGUAAAGGCUCACCAAGGCGACGAUCCGUAGCAGGUCUGAGAGGAUGAUCUGCCACACUGGAACUGAGACACGGUCCAGACUCCUACGGGAGGCAGCAGUGGGGAAUUUUGGACAAUGGGGGCAACCCUGAUCCAGCCAUGCCGCGUGAGUGAAGAAGGCC
This 408-nucleotide ribosomal RNA is filed under the name bacterium enrichment culture clone ALO1_GLFRUDD03G0C3E. Its description in RNAcentral is "bacterial SSU rRNA". It matches the Rfam family "Bacterial small subunit ribosomal RNA", at positions 9 to 416 of the family's 1533-position model. The record is from RNAcentral.